This 599-nucleotide ribosomal RNA is filed under the name uncultured Bacillota bacterium. RNAcentral describes it as "bacterial SSU rRNA". It matches the Rfam family "Bacterial small subunit ribosomal RNA", at positions 352 to 966 of the family's 1533-position model. Lineage: Bacteria; Bacillati; Bacillota. The record is from RNAcentral.
UGGAAGUGAUAUUAGCACAAUGGAGGAAACUCUGACCCAGCAACGUCGCGUGAGGGAAGACGGCGGCAGAUUGAAACUUCUGCCUUGGGGAAAAUACAGAAUACGGGCCGAGAAGGAAGCGCCACGGCUAACUACGUGCCAGCAGCCGGUAAUUACGUAGGGGCAAGCGUUGUCCGGAAUGAUUGGGCGUAAAGGGCACGUAGGCUUUGGAGUGAAAGUCGGGUUUUAAGUCUUGCUUUUCAUGUGGGAGCCGCUUUGGAAACUGCAUUUCUUGAGUGAAGAAGAGGCAGAUGGAAUUCCUGGUGUAGCGGUGAAAUGCGUAGAUAUUAGGAGGAACACCAGUGGCGAAGGCGACUUGCUGGGCUCUAACUGACGCUGAGGCUCGAAAGUGUGGGGAGCAAACAGGAUUAGAUACCCUGGUAGUCGGGGGGGGUAAACGAUGAUUUGCUAGGUGUAGGGGGUAUGAACCCCUCCUGGGCGGGGUUUACCCCAUUAGGAAUUCCCCCGGGGAGGAACGGCGCCAGGGUUAAACCUCAAAAAAUUGGUGGGGGCCCCCACAAACAGGGGAAAAAUGUGGGUUUAUUCGAAGCCACCCCAAA